This 475-nucleotide ribosomal RNA is filed under the name uncultured bacterium. Its description in RNAcentral is "partial 16S ribosomal RNA". It matches the Rfam family "Bacterial small subunit ribosomal RNA", at positions 355 to 818 of the family's 1533-position model. The record is from RNAcentral.
UAGGGAAUCUUCCACAAUGGACGCAAGUCUGAUGGAGCAACGCCGCGUGAGUGAAGAAGGUUUUCGGACCGUAAAGCUCUGUUGUUGGUGAAGAAGGAUAGAGGUAGUAACUGGCCUUUAUUUGACGGUAAUCAACCAGAAAGUCGCGGCUAACUACGUGCCAGCAGCCGCGGUAAUACGUAGGUGGCAAGCGUUGUCCGGAUUUAUUGGGCGUAAAAGCGAGCGCAGGCGGAAGAAUAAGUCUGAUGUGAAAGCCCUCGGCUUAACCGAGGAAUUGCAUCGGAAACUGUUUUUCUUGAGUGCAGAAGAGGAGAGUAGAACUCCAUGUGUAGCGGUGGAAUGCGUAGAUAUAUGGAAGAAUACCAGUGGCGAAGGCGGCUCUCUGGUCUGCAAACUGACGCUGAGGCUCGAAAAGCAUGGGUAGCGAACAGGAUUAGAUACCCUGGUAGUCCAUGCCGUAAAACGAUGAGUGCUA